Non-coding RNA from Erythranthe guttata (spotted monkey flower), 543 nucleotides. The record is from RefSeq and is a predicted model, not a curated record. Lineage: Eukaryota; Viridiplantae; Streptophyta; Magnoliopsida; Lamiales; Phrymaceae.
UAUUUGCAGGUAGGUUAUUGGUGAUGAUCUUCAAAAUGCUAAUGGAAGAUUUUCCCUCGAUCUUACCGGAACGUUAUCUUUCUCUUUCUUUGAUUACAUAUGUGUAUGUUUAUUUCUUUUGGUUUCUUAUGAAUCCGGUUUGGUGCCUUUGUUUCGAUUUUCUCUUCAUCCAAUUUGUUUUUGUCAGGUUCCUGCCAUCCUUUAUAAUAAUUUUCGGAAAUGCUAGAGAAAGCAAUUUUCUUUUCGCAAGGUAUGUAUGCUCUUAUGGUAUGAUGUUCGGCUGAUGAGUUCUUCCUUCCGCCUCCGUCAACCCUCUCCCUCUGUCUCCUGCCUCCCGUCCAAACCAGGUAAAACACGCUUGUAUAAUGAAAGGGUGUAGUGGUGUUUUUAGGUAUCACUGUAUUUGGAUCUCAGUUGUUAUGGAAUAAUUUUUUUUUUGUGGUGCUAUGAGUAUUUUAAUUUUCUUUUCGUGUUGUUUUACUCUUCUUUUUUUACCUGUAUGUAUAUCCGUUUUAAUAUCGUUGACUAAAUUAUUUCUCAAAA